GCGCGGUUAGCUCACUUGGUAGAGCGCGCCUUUGACGUAGGCGAGGUAGCAGGUUCGAUCCCUGCACCGCGCA
RNAcentral lists this transfer RNA (73 nucleotides) under Candidatus Kaiserbacteria bacterium RIFCSPLOWO2_01_FULL_53_17. RNAcentral's name for it is "tRNA-Val". It matches the Rfam family "tRNA". Rfam says of the family: Transfer RNA (tRNA) molecules are approximately 80 nucleotides in length. Their secondary structure includes four short double-helical elements and three loops (D, anti-codon, and T loops). Lineage: Bacteria; Candidatus Kaiseribacteriota. The record is from RNAcentral.